UUAGUUUGGGGGUUCUGACAUCUCUGUACGCCGAGCAGCAAUGGGGACUCCAUAUGCCAGAUGGAUCUUCUACUGCGCUGUGACUGCUGCAUCAACCUUUGGG
This is a long non-coding RNA of Poecilia latipinna (sailfin molly), 103 nucleotides long. RefSeq lists it as uncharacterized. The record is from RefSeq and is a predicted model, not a curated record. NCBI's taxonomy places the organism in Eukaryota, Metazoa, Chordata, Actinopteri, Cyprinodontiformes, Poeciliidae. The transcript has 3 exons.